CACGUAGGGUGCGAGCGUUGUCUGGAAUUAUUGGGCGUAAAGAGCUCGUAGGCGGUUUGGCAAGUCGGGUGUGAAAACUCCGGGCUCAACUCGGAGACGCCACUCGAUACUGCCAUGACUCGAGUCCGGUAGGGGAGUGCGGAAUUUCUGGUGUAGCGGUGAAAUGCGCAGAUAUCAGGAGGAACACCGGUGGCGAAGGCGGCACUCUGGGCCGGUACUGACGCUGAGGAGCGAAAGCGUGGGGAGCGAACAGG
Molecule: ribosomal RNA, 254 nt
Filed under: uncultured bacterium
Lineage: Bacteria
Description: partial 16S ribosomal RNA
Rfam family: Bacterial small subunit ribosomal RNA
Source: RNAcentral